AAUAUUGGACAAUGGGCGAAAGCCUGAUCCAGCCAUGCCGCGUGUGUGAAGAAGGUCNNNGGAUUNUAAACCUCUGUCUUUGGNGAANAUAAUGACGGUACCCAAGGAGGAAGCCACGGCUAACUACGUGCCAGCAGCCGCGGUAAUACGUAGGUGGCAAGCGUUGUCCGGAAUUACUGGGUGUAAAGGGAGCGUAGGCGGGUACGCAAGUUGAAUGUUUAACCUAUCGGCUCAACCGAUAGUCGCGUUCAAAACUGCGGAUCUUGAGUGAAGUAGAGGCAGGCGGAAUUCCUAGUGUAGCGGUGAAAUGCGUAGAUAUUAGGAGGAACACCAGUGGCGAAGGCGGCCUGCUGGGCUUUUACUGACGCUGAGGCUCGAAAGCAUGGGGAGCAAACA
Molecule: ribosomal RNA, 396 nt
Filed under: uncultured bacterium
Lineage: Bacteria
Description: partial 16S ribosomal RNA
Rfam family: Bacterial small subunit ribosomal RNA
Source: RNAcentral